AGCUCGCUGUUUUUUAUAGUGGGUGGUUUCUGCCCGGUGCUUGAUGGAGUAAACGGCUGCGGUAUUCUGACCGUGCAAAGGUAGCAUAAUCAUUUGCCCUUUUAUUGGGGGCUGGUAUGAAUGGGAGCUUGAGGGCCCUGCUGUCUCCCCCCUUCAGUGUGGAAAUUGCUGUUUUUGUGAAGAAGCAGGGGUUAGGAAAAAAGACAAGAAGACCCUAUUAAGCUUUACUUUUUAGAUUUUAUCUUUAUUGUCCUUUGAGGGAUUGGUAGGGUAGUUGGCAAGUUUGGUUGGGGUAACCAGAAAGGAGGGAGGAUCCUCUUUUUGGGGGGCUAAACUUUAUGUUGGAUUAGGAACCAAAAAUUUUUGGUUGAAAGAAUUAGUUACUAUAGGGAUAACAGCGUAAUUCUCUCAGAGAGUUCUUAUUGAAGAGGGGGUUUGCGACCUCGAUGUUGACUUGUUGUUUCCUCUAGGAGGUGUAGUAGCUGGAAGGGUUAGUCUGUUCGACUGUUAAAGCGGC
Molecule: ribosomal RNA, 517 nt
Filed under: Lineidae gen. sp. large eggs
Lineage: Eukaryota; Metazoa; Nemertea; Pilidiophora; Heteronemertea; Lineidae
Description: partial 16S ribosomal RNA
Rfam family: Bacterial large subunit ribosomal RNA
Source: RNAcentral